Molecule: ribosomal RNA, 497 nt
Filed under: uncultured bacterium
Lineage: Bacteria
Description: partial 16S ribosomal RNA
Rfam family: Bacterial small subunit ribosomal RNA
Source: RNAcentral
GAUGAACGCUGGCGGCGUGCCUAAUACAUGCAAGUAGAACGCUGAAGGAAGGAGCUUGCUCUUUCCGGAUGAGUUGCGAACGGGUGAGUAACGCGUAGGUAACCUGCCUGGUAGCGGGGGAUAACUAUUGGAAACGAUAGCUAAUACCGCAUAACAGUAGAUAUUGCAUGAUAUCUGCUUGAAAGGGGCAAUUGGUCCACUACCAGAUGGACCUGCGUUGUAUUAGCUAGUUGGUGAGGUAACGGCUCACCAAGGCGACGAUACAUAGCCGACCUGAGAGGGUGAUCGGCCACACUGGGACUGAGACACGGCCCAGACUCCUACGGGAGGCAGCAGUAGGGAAUCUUCGGCAAUAGACGGAAGUCUGACCGAGCAACGCCGCGUGAGUGAAGAAGGUUUUCGGAUCGUAAAGCUCUGUUGUAAGAGAAGAACGAGUGUGAGAGUGGAAAGUUCACACUGUGACGGUAUCUUACCAGAAAGGGACGGCUAACUACGUG